AGUAUAGUGGAGUGGAUAAGGAUUAUACCCUCAAAAGUAACCACCUAUUCUGAGAUUUGCCAAGAAUCCUCGUCGAUACGAACUUUCAGCAAAUUAAACCUGGAGGGGCGCAAAACAGAAAGUGUGAGUGGGCAAAAACAAAGUUUUUCAAAAACCAUUUCAAUUAUCAAAUGUAGUAACCCCUUGCCGUAAAACCUGUAUAAUUUCCCAGAAAAUAGAAUAUAUACAUAUAUCGAAACCAUACUCAAAAUAGCAAAAUCCACUUAUAUGCCAUGUCAAAUAACUCAGUAAAAAAUAAGUAAGCCAGGUGAAAUAAACCAAUAUGAAAUAGAAUGCCAAAUUACAAAAGAGUGUAAAAAUGUUUGUCAAAAUGUUAAUCAACACCGUUGUGUGUGUAUAUAUAUAUAUAUAUAUAUAUAUAUAUAUAUAUAUAUAUAUGAUGAGAUCAUACAAUUGAGCAAAUUAAAUAAUUUCAGUAGAAAGGCAACAAUCAUGACGGGCGAGCUAACUCUCCAAAUUGCAUUGAAAUUCAUAUAACAAAAGAUAAAUCUUCAAUAAGGCAGCCUCACCACAUAAUUUGUGAGGAAAUUCUGCAUUUGGAGUAAGAUAACGCUCUACUAAAGAUUUUAACCUCCAAUAAAUGAAGUGAACCAUACCGUAUUGUUCACAAUUAAAAAUCUUUGCUCCCUGACAGAUAUGGGUAUAUGUACUCAUAUAUGAAAUUAUUGGGGACAGAAAAUUAAAUACAAGGUCCUGCCAUAGACAGCCUUGUGAUAUUCAACCCAUGUCCAGCGGCCUAUCUGAAUUCAAGGGUGAAUGAAACUAGAGCGGGAAAGUAAUGGCUCUGUCUUCUAUGGCCAAAGUGUUAAACACAAUUUAGCACAUAACAGCCUGUGAUGAUUAAUUGUUGUUGAUCUAAACACAAGUCACUACUCAUUACUGUUGAAGAUAGAAACCAUAUCAGCAGAAGAAUGUCUGUUAGAAAUGCUGUUAGUAGCUGUUAGAGUUUGUUAAGUCAGUUAACUCCAGCUUAAGACACAAGAAAGCUCAUGAGAGCUAUAUAAAGUUGUAGUAGUAUCUAUGUAAUUCAUUCAGAAGUAAUGCACUCAAAUAGUAUCUCUCUCAUCAAUUCCUUUCUUUUCUGCUUUCUCGUUCAUUUAAUCUUUCUCUUAGUUCUUCAUGUUCAUCUGUUAACAGUUAUAAUAUUAAUUACAUUUCACAUAAUAACAUCUAUAGAGAGGUUCUGUUCUCAUUUAGGUAUUAAACCAAGGAAAAUGCUAAUCCGACUCGCCUAAAAGAUAAUAGCAUGUCAAAGAUGAAAAAACCACUUGCAGAGACUUUCCAUUAUCGUGCACGCCUUAGCUAAUUAAUUAGCAUAUCCUGAUGGUGGUUUGCUCCAUAAUUUUCAAAGAUUUGAUGGAUAAUGGUUUAUUUUAUUGGAUUAUCAAGUUUACUAUCCGGAUCUCACUUCAAUUGUUCAUGUAUUUAUAUGUCUGUGGAUCUUCAACUAACCUACCAGCUGGUAGCUGUUAAAUGGAAAGUCUCACAGGAUAUGCUAAUAAUGGUUUAUUUAAAUUUAGUAGCUGUUAAAUGAUAAUGAUGUGUCUGUAGAUCUUCAACUAACAUACCACAUUUAAUAGUACCGGCAAACUUGAUGAGACAUACCAGAAUUCAAUCGGAUCGUGUUGAAAGAAACAUUAAUGAUUGAUACCUACAUAGCAUUAUUGGAGUGAAUGAUUGUAUAUGAUAUUAAGCCGUUAAGAUCUUUGGAUACGAAGUGUGUGUAUAUAUAUUACAUCACGAUAAAACUAAUUUAGUUUUAUUAUUUUAAUUAGUGAUAAGAUUAAAGAAAUCAAUGAUUUAUGUUAUCUUGCCGUAACCUAAGGGCCGGUUUUGAAAUGUUAGAGGUCUUGUGCAGAAGAUAGUAGAUGAGUCUUUGUAUAAAAAUUCAUGCUACAAAGCUAAAUUAUAUGUCUAUAGUUGUACUAAUAGUAGAAUAUUAAAGUGCGCAACGAACAAAACUACAAAAUAAUAAGAAUAUUAUUAAACAA
Molecule: long non-coding RNA, 2051 nt
Filed under: Malus domestica (apple)
Lineage: Eukaryota; Viridiplantae; Streptophyta; Magnoliopsida; Rosales; Rosaceae
Description: long non-coding RNA (MDOM_LNC011737)
Source: RNAcentral